This is a long non-coding RNA of Thamnophis elegans (Western terrestrial garter snake), 308 nucleotides long. RefSeq lists it as uncharacterized. The record is from RefSeq and is a predicted model, not a curated record. The transcript has 2 exons. Lineage: Eukaryota; Metazoa; Chordata; Lepidosauria; Squamata; Natricidae.
UGGGAGUUGAAGUCCAAAAGUCUUUAAAGUUUUGGAACAAUAUUUCCCAACCUUGCCAAGCUUGAAAAACUCAUUAUUUAUAACAACAAUGAAGAAGAAGGGAACUAAACAUUAAUAUUGUACCAAGUCAAAAAAAAAAACAUGGAUAGUCACCUUUUCAGAUUAAAUGGUUUGUUUGUUUAUUUGUUUGUUUGUUUAUAAAAUUUAUAAGCCGCCAUCUUACCUCAAAGUAACCCUUUGAGCCCAAUCUUGGCUUAUUUUACAAAAUGCAAGGUAGAUCCUGGCUUGUUUCUCACUUCAGAAGCUUU